UACAGAGGGUGCAAGCGUUAAUCGGAAUUACUGGGCGUAAAGCGCGCGUAGGUGGCUAAGUAAGAUGGGUGUGAAAUCCCCGGGCUCAACCUGGGAACUGCAUCCAUAACUGCUUAGCUAGAGUACGGUAGAGGGUAGUGGAAUUUCCUGUGUAGCGGUGAAAUGCGUAGAUAUAGGAAGGAACACCAGUGGCGAAGGCGACUACCUGGACUGAUACUGACACUGAGGUGCGAAAGCGUGGGGAGCAAACAGG
RNAcentral lists this ribosomal RNA (253 nucleotides) under bacterium. RNAcentral's name for it is "partial 16S ribosomal RNA". It matches the Rfam family "Bacterial small subunit ribosomal RNA", at positions 524 to 776 of the family's 1533-position model. The record is from RNAcentral. RNAcentral also lists the same sequence under 1 other name.